This 425-nucleotide ribosomal RNA is filed under the name uncultured bacterium. Its description in RNAcentral is "bacterial SSU rRNA". It matches the Rfam family "Bacterial small subunit ribosomal RNA", at positions 354 to 796 of the family's 1533-position model. The record is from RNAcentral.
GUGGGGAAUAUUGGACAAUGGGGGAAACCCUGAUCCAGCAAUGCCGCGUGAGUGAUGAAGGCCUUCGGGUUGUAAAGCUCUUUUAUCAGGGAAGAUAAUGACGGUACCUGAUGAAUAAGCUCCGGCUAACUUCGUGCCAGCAGCCGCGGUAAUACGAAGGGAGCUAGCGUUGUUCGGAAUUACUGGGCGUAAAGGGCGCGUAGGCGGCCUUGUAAGUUAGAUGUGAAAGCCCCGGGCUUAACCUGGGAACUGCAUUUAAGACUGCAAAGCUAGAGGACGAGAGAGGAAAGUGGAAUUAUGAGUGUAGAGGUGAAAUUCGUAGAUAUUCAUAAGAACACCAGUGGCGAAGGCGACUUUCUGGCUCGUAUCUGACGCUAAGGCGCGAAAGCGUGGGGAGCAAACAGGAUUAGAUACCCGGGUAGUCC